CCUUUCGCCGCUGUGUGCCAGACCCCCGAGGAGCACAAAAGAGCAGCUUGAAGGGCUCUUUGUGUCUGAAUCGCUGGGAGGCUUCCCAAGACUGAAGUUGGAGGCACCAAGGGACGUCCUGGUCACGGACCAAAAGAAACCACCUCCACCACGCGCCUCACCUUGCCUACGUCCAUCGCUGGGAACCGGGUGCCGAGAGAAGAGAAGAACCCGCGAGGCUGGUGAUGAGCUGCAGCCCCGUGCCCCGGGCAGUUGGCGCUCUCUUUGUGGGCUCCUUGGAAAUUCUGCCUCCAAGAACCCUGGAAAAGUAGCUCUUGAAUGGCCAUUUCCACUCAUAGACAAGAAAGGAAGGAGUCUGUAAUCUUCAAAACCUCUUCAGGUCAUUCUGAUGUUCCACUACUGUAUUUUGGCUUUGCUUUUUUUUUUUGCUUUCUGUUAUUGACACAGAAACAAUAACCAUACAUUCCCUAUAUAGUACUUAAAGAAGUGGCCCAUGGGAAUUUUGGAGCAAAGAGGGCCUAGAGGACAUCAGUUACCAAGAGGAGUCUGAGAAGCAGAAGACUCACAUCACCUGGAUACCUUCCUUGGACCUCAGCCAGCUCAAGUACCACCUUCCCAAGGAAACUAUGCCUCACUUCCUUUAUCUGCUUUAUAAUACUGGCCUCCCCUAGGAAUAUCAGUAACCUCACUGCAAAUGUAUAUUCAUUUUCUUGAUUGUUCUGUUUCCUCCUCUAGAAAUCAUGAUAGUAAAGUUACAUCUGUUUUUGUUCACUAUCUCACCCUUAAAUCCCAGCGCCUGGCACAUUUGUAGGUGCUCUAGAAUGUAAGAAUACAACUGAUAUAUAUAA
Heterocephalus glaber (naked mole-rat) is the source of this 848-nucleotide long non-coding RNA. RefSeq lists it as uncharacterized. Lineage: Eukaryota; Metazoa; Chordata; Mammalia; Rodentia; Bathyergidae. The record is from RefSeq and is a predicted model, not a curated record.